Molecule: ribosomal RNA, 282 nt
Filed under: Cycloderma aubryi
Lineage: Eukaryota; Metazoa; Chordata; Testudines; Trionychidae
Description: partial 12S ribosomal RNA
Source: RNAcentral
GUUCUAUAAUCGAUACCCCACGCUAAACCUCACCACUCCUCGCCACCCAGCUUAUAUACCACCGUCUCAGCUUACCCCAUGAGAGCCAAAAAGUUAGCACAACAGUCCUAAACAACUAACAAGUCAGGUCAAGGUGUAGCCAAUGGAGUGGAAGAAAUGGGCUACAUUUUCUAAAGUAGAUAUUAAACCACGGAAUUGCGCCAUGAAAUAAGGCCUAAAUAAGCCGGAUUUAGAAGUAAAUUAAGAAACAGAGAGCUUAAUUAAAAUUGGACCUGAGGUGCG